RNAcentral lists this unclassified non-coding RNA (324 nucleotides) under plant metagenome. RNAcentral describes it as "partial contains 5.8S ribosomal RNA, internal transcribed spacer 2, and large subunit ribosomal RNA". The stretch from base 1 to 105 matches the Rfam family "5.8S ribosomal RNA", at positions 50 to 154 of the family's 154-position model. The record is from RNAcentral.
GAAAUGCGAUACGUAAUGUGAAUUGCAGAAUUCAGUGAAUCAUCGAGUCUUUGAAUGCACAUUGCGCCCCCUGGUAUUCCGGGGGGCAUGCCUGUCCGAGCGUCAUUGCUGCCCUCAAGCACGGCUUGUGUGUUGGGCCCCCGUCCCCCCCCCAAGGGGACGGGCCCGAAAGGCAGCGGCGGCACCGUGUCCGGUCCUCGAGCGUAUGGGAAGCAACUUUUUGUCACCCGCUCCUGUAGGUCCGGCCGGCGGCCUGCCCAACCCCAACCUUUUUUUCAACCAGGUUGACCUCGGAUCAGGUAGGGAUACCCGCUGAACUUAAGC